This 306-nucleotide ribosomal RNA is filed under the name Triticum aestivum (bread wheat). RNAcentral describes it as "partial small subunit ribosomal RNA". The record is from RNAcentral. Lineage: Eukaryota; Viridiplantae; Streptophyta; Magnoliopsida; Poales; Poaceae.
AUGUGCCUCUCCACAAGCGCCGCUGGACAGCCACGCCGUCCACGCGCCGUCCGCACCCGCGCCGCCCGGACCGCCGCGCCAUUCAGCGCCCGCGCUGACCGGGUUCGAUCUAGACUACGAGGGGUUGCCCCGACCCCGUUCCUCGAGUUGGCCGUGGAAGAGAGAGAGAGCGAGACGAGGGGUUGCCCCGACCCGGUUCCUCGAGUUGGCAAUGGUGGAUCUAGAGUUCUAGACGAGGGGUUGCCGUCCGGCCCGUCCCUUUCAUUGCAUCCACCAGAAGAGAGAGAUCGAAGGGAAGAAGCUUGA